ACACGUAGGGGCCUGACGUUGUUCGGAAUCAUUGGGCGUAAAGGGCGCGCAGGCGGCCGUCCAAGUCCGGUGUUAAAUGGUCGGGCUCAACCCGAUCAUGCGCUGGAAACUGGGCGGCUGGAGUCCCGGAGGGGAUGCCGGAAUUCCAGGUGUAGGGGUGAAAUCUGUAGAUAUCUGGAAGAACACCGAUGGCGAAGGCAGGCAUCUGGCCGGAGACUGACGCUGAGGCGCGAAGGCGCGGGGAGCGAACAGGAUUAGAUACCCUGGUAGUCCACACUGUAAACGAUGAAUGCUAGGUGUAGGGGGUAUCGACCCCUUCUGUGCCGCAGUUAACGCAUUAAGCAUUCCACCUGGGGAGUACGUUCGCAAGAAUGAAACUUAAAGGAAUUGACGGGG
This 396-nucleotide ribosomal RNA is filed under the name uncultured bacterium. RNAcentral's name for it is "partial 16S ribosomal RNA". It matches the Rfam family "Bacterial small subunit ribosomal RNA", at positions 523 to 918 of the family's 1533-position model. The record is from RNAcentral.